Molecule: ribosomal RNA, 663 nt
Filed under: Clostridioides difficile
Lineage: Bacteria; Bacillati; Bacillota; Clostridia; Peptostreptococcales; Peptostreptococcaceae
Description: partial 23S ribosomal RNA
Rfam family: Bacterial large subunit ribosomal RNA
Source: RNAcentral
GAGCAGGAUGAAGCGAAAGUAAAAUUUCGUGGAGGUCCGAACCCACGAGCGUUGAAAAGCUCGGGGAUGACUUGUGGGUAGCGGUGAAAUUCCAAUCGAGCCCGGAGAUAGCUGGUUCUCCCCGAAAUAGCUUUAGGGCUAGCCUCAAGGUGAGAGAUACGGAGGUAGAGCACUGAAUGUCCUAGGGGGUAUUGCACCUACCGAAGACUAUCAAACUCCGAAUGCCGUCAUCUUAUACUUGGGAGUCAGACUGUGGGUGAUAAGAUUCAUAGUCGAAAGGGCAACAGCCCAGAUCGUCAGCUAAGGUCCCUAAAUGUAAGUUAAGUGGUAAAGGAUGUGGGAUUGCACAGACAACCAGGAUGUUGGCUUAGAAGCAGCCACUCAUUCAAAGAGUGCGUAAUAGCUCACUGUCGAGUGAUCCUGCGCCGAAGAUUUCCGGGGCUAAAACUUACUACCGAAGCUACGGCAUCAGUAAUGAUGGGUAGGGGAGCUUCCCAUACGGGUUGAAGCAUGACCGUAAGGACAUGUGGACAGUAUGGGAGUGAGAAUGUUGGCAUGAGUAGCGAGAUGUGGGUGAGAAUCCCACAGGCCGUAAACCCAAGGUUUCCAGGGGAAGGUUCGUCCGCCCUGGGUUAGUCGGGACCUAAGCUGAGGCCGAAAGGC